UUGUUCUUUAAAUGGGGACUUGUAUCAACGGCACCACGAGGGUUAGACUGUCUCCUUUUUCAAAUCAGUGAAAUUAAUCUCCCCGUGAAGAAGCGGGGAUACUCAUAUAAGACGAGAAGACCCCAUGGAGCUUCAAACCCAACUACACCCCUAGCUCUUAUAGCCCCACAACCCCCCC
RNAcentral lists this ribosomal RNA (178 nucleotides) under Mantidactylus melanopleura. Its description in RNAcentral is "partial 16S ribosomal RNA". The record is from RNAcentral. Lineage: Eukaryota; Metazoa; Chordata; Amphibia; Anura; Mantellidae.